This 1439-nucleotide ribosomal RNA is filed under the name Paramecocnemis stillacruoris. RNAcentral's name for it is "eukaryotic LSU rRNA". It matches the Rfam family "Eukaryotic large subunit ribosomal RNA", at positions 595 to 1722 of the family's 3401-position model. Lineage: Eukaryota; Metazoa; Arthropoda; Insecta; Odonata; Platycnemididae. The record is from RNAcentral.
AGGAACUGAGACGUCGACGCGCCGAAUCACGGCGUCCGGCCCUCCGCGAGCACCCGCGGGGGGGCGGGUUACGGACCCGGUCCGAUCCCGCUCCCACCGAGGGGCUGUCCGCGAUGAUGGAGGUGUCCUCGGACGGCGUCAGGAAUCGUCUCCGGUCCGCGACGCUACGGCUUGGAUGGUCCACCCGACCCGUCUUGAAACACGGACCAAGGAGUCUAACAUGCGCGCGAGUCGUUGGGUCGGACACGCUCCGCUAAACCCACAGGCGCAAUGAAAGUGAAGGCCGCCUUCCGGUGGCCGAGGGAGGACGGGGCCGCAUCGGGCGUUCCGGCGCCCGACGGUCCCCGCACCCCCGGGGCGUCUGAUCUCUCACCGCGAGGGGAGGCGCACCCAGAGCGCACACGUUGGGACCCGAAAGAUGGUGAACUAUGCUUGGCCAGGACGAAGUCAGGGGAAACCCUGAUGGAGGUCCGUAGCGAUUCUGACGUGCAAAUCGAUCGUCGGAGCUGGGUAUAGGGGCGAAAGACUAAUCGAACCAUCUAGUAGCUGGUUCCCUCCGAAGUUUCCCUCAGGAUAGCUUGUGCUCGGAGGAGAGUCUCAUCCGGUAAAGCGAAUGAUUAGAGGCCUUGGGGCCGAAACGGCUUCAACCUAUUCUCAAACUUUAAAUGGGUGAGAACUCCGGCUUGCUCGACUUAUCGAAGCCGGAGACGGGACCCGUUCCUCGGAGCGGGCCCCCGGGAUCGGAGUGCAUAGUGGGCCACUUUUGGUAAGCAGAACUGGCGCUGUGGGAUGAACCAAACGACGGGUUAAGGCGCCCGAAUCGACGCUCAUGGGAAACCAUGAAAGGUGUUGGUUGCUUAAGACAGCAGGACGGUGGCCAUGGAAGUCGGAAUCCGCUAAGGAGUGUGUAAUAACUCACCUGCCGAAGCAACUAGCCCUGAAAAUGGAUGGCGCUGAAGCGUCGUGCCUAUACCCGACCGUCGCGGCACGGCGGACCCGGCCUCGCGCCGGGUGCCGUUUGAUGCGGCGACGAGUAGGAGGGUCGCGGCGGCGGGCGCAGAAGGGUCUGGGCUCGAGCCUGCCUGGAGCCGCCGCUGGUGCAGAUCUUGGUGGUAGUAGCAAAUACUCCAGCGAGGCCCUGGAGGACUGAUGUGGAGAAGGGUUUCGUGUGAACAGCCGUUGCACACGAGUCAGUCGAUCCUAAGCCCUAGGAGAAAUCCGACGCCGACGGCGACGGGAAAAAAUUGAAAAUCGUCUGACGAAAGAAACCCGUUGAUCGGGCGAAAGGGAAUCCGGUUCCUAUUCCGGAACCCGGCAGCGGAACCGCUGUUUGUCGGGCCCUCGCAAGGGGUUCGUCAGGGUAACCUAAAAGGGCCCGGAGACGCCGUCGGGAGCCCCGGAAAGAGUUUUCUUUUCUGCAUGAGCGUUCGAGUUCCCUG